AGAAGAUGGCCACAGAGACAGACAGCAGCGUGGUCAGAGUGGUAGGAGCCGGCCAUCAGCGAGAGCUGCUCCAUGCCUGGCUGCUGGGUGCUAGAGUCUGCGGCCCACUGGCUUGCCUCACUGUGGUUGGUGGUGGCGGUGACAGAGACUGCAGCAUGACCAGAGUGGCUUUUCUGGCUUUGCCCGCCCAGCUGCUCCAUGCCAGGAGGAGGAGGAGACACCUAGAGCCUGCAACACCACGGCUCGCCUCGCUACAGUCAGUUCUAGAGUGUAUGAAGAACCAAAUGAUGUAAUUGUAUGCGACCUGGCUGUAGUGGAACAAAUUUGACUCUAAAGUAUGCAGGCUCUAAUUUUCCUGUCUGGUUUUGUCUAGGGAGAUGACUCAUCAGAAAAAGAAGAAAAAAGAGGUAUUUGGAAAUUGUGCAAAUUAAAGCAGCCCCUGAUGCCAAAGUCUACACAUUCCUGAGUGAGUCAGUUCUGGCCAGUUCUAGCUGGAUCAAGAGAGCUCUGCUGGGCAGGCCUGAAGAGCACCUGGAUGGCAGACACCUGAGGAGCCAGGUGCCUGAAACUUCCUCCACCUACUUGAGGAGUGCCAAAGCCCAGGUGCUGGCUGGACAACCCCUUCUGGCUGCCUAAGCAGAUGGCAGAAGAAGGAAACAAGGUCAGAGGCAGAGUGUUGAACCCUGCCUCCCAGCCCCCACAUCACCCAACCAACCAGCAGAGAUCCUCCUUCCCAAGAAACAGAUAAAGAAACUGAGGCCCAGGAAGGCUAAGAGUCCUGCCAGGAUUAUUCACCUUUCAAGCAGCCAAGCAAGCACUGGCUGUGAGAGAUGGCUGUGAGAGAAGAUUAAAACAAUUACAACUCACCCAGUUCACAGAUGCUGAGUAACUGAUCUCCUGCCCCACUAACCUUAACGACAGCUUUCUCUGGACAAGGGACUGAUUUCAGUAACUUUCUCCUGAUAAGAGACCAUCCUCCAUGGACUGGUUCUGGCCAGUUUUAGAGGCUGUGCCUUUACGAGGCUGAGUACCUUCAUGUCCCUGCUUCACUUUUUGAUGUGUAGGGCCUAAUUAUAAUACAUUUAAAUGUCAAGUCUCCACCCCAGAAUGAACAUGCAUGUUUAUUGAAUAUGCAUGUGUUAGGACCUCUUUUAUGAGUAUUCUCAUAAAAUGAUAUAGCUCCUCUGAUAUCCUAUUGAGUAUGUAUAUGUAGCCAACUCAUUUGGCUCAAAUUCCUGUCCUCUCCCUCCCUCCCUGGAAAUGCCUGCCUCUGGCCUUGGCUGUAGGCCACACUUCCCAGCCUGUCAUAAUGGCCACCUUGCAGACUGCAAACCUUUAUAAGAAAUAAAGCUCUCUUUUCUAAAUUUAUAAAAUUGUGUGAUUUUUCA
Molecule: long non-coding RNA, 1388 nt
Filed under: Homo sapiens (human)
Lineage: Eukaryota; Metazoa; Chordata; Mammalia; Primates; Hominidae
Description: HSALNT0379669
Source: RNAcentral